UUAUGGCCAUAUCACUUUGAAACACAGAUUCUCAUCUGAUCACUGAAGUUAAGUAAUGUUGAACCUGAUCAGUACCUAGAUGGGUAACUGCUCGGUGAAUACCAGGUGCU
Molecule: non-coding RNA, 110 nt
Organism: Acanthosepion pharaonis
Lineage: Eukaryota; Metazoa; Mollusca; Cephalopoda; Sepiida; Sepiidae
Source: the annotation of a GenBank genome assembly